GACGAACGCUGGCGGCGUGCUUAACACAUGCAAGUCGAGCGGUAAGGCCCUUUCGGGGGUACACGAGCGGCGAACGGGUGAGUAACACGUGGGUGACCUGCCCUUAGCUCUGGGAUAAGCCUGGGAAACUGGGUCUAAUACCGGAUAUGACUCCAUGACGCAUGUUGUGGGGUGGAAAGCCUUGUGCGGCUAGGGAUGGGCCCGCGGCCUAUCAGCUUGUUGGUGGGGUGAUGGCCUACCAAGGCGACGACGGGUAGCCGGCCUGAGAGGGCGACCGGCCACACUGGGACUGAGACACGGCCCAGACUCCUACGGGAGGCAGCAGUGGGGAAUCUUGCGCAAUGGGCGAAAGCCUGACGCAGCGACGCCGCGUGCGGGAAGAAGGCCUCGGUUGUAACG
RNAcentral lists this ribosomal RNA (399 nucleotides) under uncultured bacterium. Its description in RNAcentral is "bacterial SSU rRNA". It matches the Rfam family "Bacterial small subunit ribosomal RNA", at positions 28 to 430 of the family's 1533-position model. The record is from RNAcentral.